UGCGUUGAAGCGCAGCAGUUGACUGGACAUCUAGGGGUAAAACACUGUUUCAGUGCGGGCAACGAGAGCGGUACCAAAUCGAGGCAAACUCUGAAUACUAGCACGUGUGUUGCCCAG
RNAcentral lists this ribosomal RNA (117 nucleotides) under Prunus dulcis (almond). RNAcentral's name for it is "rRNA LSU_rRNA_bacteria". Lineage: Eukaryota; Viridiplantae; Streptophyta; Magnoliopsida; Rosales; Rosaceae. The record is from RNAcentral.